AAGAGAGUAGUUCAAUUGGCAGAACGUUGGUCUCCAAAACCAUUGGCUGGGGGUUCGAGUCCCUUCUCUCUUG
RNAcentral lists this transfer RNA (73 nucleotides) under Ophirina amphinema. RNAcentral's name for it is "tRNA-Trp". It matches the Rfam family "tRNA". From Rfam's summary of the family: Transfer RNA (tRNA) molecules are approximately 80 nucleotides in length. The record is from RNAcentral. Lineage: Eukaryota; Jakobea; Jakobida; Ophirinidae.